UUGAACGCUGGCGGCAUGCCUUACACAUGCAAGUCGAACGGCAGCACGGGUGCUUGCACCUGGUGGCGAGUGGCGAACGGGUGAGUAAUACAUCGGAACAUGUCCUGUAGUGGGGGAUAGCCCGGCGAAAGCCGGAUUAAUACCGCAUACGAUCUACGGAUGAAAGCGGGGGACCUUCGGGCCUCGCGCUAUAGGGUUGGCCGAUGGCUGAUUAGCUAGUUGGUGGGGUAAAGGCCAACCAAGGCGACGAUCAGUAGCUGGUCUGAGAGGACGACCAGCCACACUGGGACUGAGACACGGCCCAGACUCCUACGGGAGGCAGCAGUGGGGAAUUUUGGACAAUGGGCGAAAGCCUGAUCCAGCAAUGCCGCGUGUGUGAAGAAGGCCUUCGGGUUGUAAAGCACUUUUGUCCGGAAAGAAAUCCUUGGCCCUAAUACGGUCGGGGGAUGACGGUACCGGAAGAAUAAGCACCGGCUAACUACGUG
Molecule: ribosomal RNA, 485 nt
Filed under: uncultured bacterium
Lineage: Bacteria
Description: partial 16S ribosomal RNA
Rfam family: Bacterial small subunit ribosomal RNA
Source: RNAcentral